This 339-nucleotide long non-coding RNA is filed under the name Gossypium barbadense (sea-island cotton). RNAcentral's name for it is "long non-coding RNA (GBAR_LNC023017)". Lineage: Eukaryota; Viridiplantae; Streptophyta; Magnoliopsida; Malvales; Malvaceae. The record is from RNAcentral.
UUUUAGUGCCCGGUUCAGCUGUUUUUUCUUGUCUGGACCGGGGCAACCUGUCAUACUUAUUCCUACCAGGGAUAUCCCAUUCCAAGGAUAUCCCGGUUCAAUAUUAUCCUAGGGAUAUUCCACUCUGCGGAUAUCCCGGUUCGGGUUUAUUGACCCCGGUUCAGUUUUUUGUGAACCUGGUUCGGGUUUAUUGACCCCGGUUAGGGUUUUUUGGGAUCCCGGUUCGUGUUUAUUGGACCCGGUUGGGUUUUUUAAGGGAACCCGGUUCGUGUUUAUUGGACCCGGUUGGUUUUUUAAGGGAACCCGGUUCGUUUUUUGGGGAACCUGGUUCGGUUUUUU